GCUGAGGUCGCUUAGUCCGGUAUAGCGCUAGACUGCUAAUCUAGUUCCUUUGGAAUCGCGGGUUCAAAUCCCGUCCUCAGCG
This 82-nucleotide transfer RNA is filed under the name Nanobdellota archaeon. RNAcentral describes it as "tRNA-Ser". It matches the Rfam family "tRNA". Rfam says of the family: Transfer RNA (tRNA) molecules are approximately 80 nucleotides in length. The record is from RNAcentral. Lineage: Archaea; Nanobdellati; Nanobdellota.